This 497-nucleotide ribosomal RNA is filed under the name uncultured bacterium. RNAcentral's name for it is "partial 16S ribosomal RNA". It matches the Rfam family "Bacterial small subunit ribosomal RNA", at positions 28 to 507 of the family's 1533-position model. The record is from RNAcentral.
GAUGAACGCUGGUGGCGUGCCUAAUACAUGCAAGUCGAGCGAACAGACGAGGAGCUUGCUCCUCUGACGUUAGCGGCGGACGGGUGAGUAACACGUGGAUAACCUACCUAUAAGACUGGGAUAACUUCGGGAAACCGGAGCUAAUACCGGAUAAUAUAUUGAACCUCAUGGUUCAAUAGUGAAAGACGGUUUUGCUGUCACUUAUAGAUGGAUCCGCGCCGCAUUAGCUAGUUGGUAAGGUAACGGCUUACCAAGGCAACGAUGCGUAGCCGACCUGAGAGGGUGAACGGCCACACUGGAACUGAAACACGGUCCAGACUCCUACGGGAGGCAGCAGUAGGGAAUCUUCCGCAAUGGGCGGAAGCCUGACGGAGCAGCGCCGCGUGAGUGAUGAAGGUCUUCGGAUCGUAAAACUCUGUUAUUAGGGAAGAACAAAUGUGUAAGUACCUAUGCACGUCUUGACGGUACCUAAUCAGAAAGCCACGGCUAACUACGUG